RNAcentral lists this ribosomal RNA (488 nucleotides) under uncultured bacterium. Its description in RNAcentral is "partial 16S ribosomal RNA". It matches the Rfam family "Bacterial small subunit ribosomal RNA", at positions 27 to 507 of the family's 1533-position model. The record is from RNAcentral.
GGAUGAACGCUAGCGAUAGGCUUAACACAUGCAAGUCGAGGGGCAGCACAAGGUAGCUUGCUAUCUGGGUGGCGACCGGCGCACGGGUGCGUAACGCGUAUGCAACUUGCCCUAUACAGGAGGAUAACCCGUCGAAAGACGGACUAAUACUGCGUAUGCUCACAACUUGGCAUCAAGUGGUGAGGAAAGAAAUUCGGUAUAGGAUAGGCAUGCGUCCCAUUAGCUUGUUGGUGAGGUAACGGCUCACCAAGGCAACGAUGGGUAGGGGAACUGAGAGGUUUAUCCCCCACACUGGUACUGAGACACGGACCAGACUCCUACGGGAGGCAGCAGUGAGGAAUAUUGGUCAAUGGGCGCGAGCCUGAACCAGCCAAGUCGCGUGAAGGAUGACUGUCUUAUGGAUUGUAAACUUCUUUUAUACGGGAAUAACAAGAGUCACGUGUGACUCCCUGCAUGUACCGUAUGAAUAAGCAUCGGCUAGCUCCGUG